RNAcentral lists this ribosomal RNA (468 nucleotides) under uncultured bacterium. RNAcentral describes it as "partial 16S ribosomal RNA". It matches the Rfam family "Bacterial small subunit ribosomal RNA", at positions 28 to 507 of the family's 1533-position model. The record is from RNAcentral.
GACGAACGCUGGCGGCGUGCUUAACACAUGCAAGUCGAACGGAAAGGCCCUGCUUUUGUGGGGUGCUCGAGUGGCGAACGGGUGAGUAACACGUGAGUAACCUGCCCUUGACUUUGGGAUAACUUCAGGAAACUGGGGCUAAUACCGGAUAGGAGCUCCUGCUGCAUGGUGGGGGUUGGAAAGUUUCGGCGGUUGGGGAUGGACUCGCGGCUUAUCAGCUUGUUGGUGGGGUAGUGGCUUACCAAGGCUUUGACGGGUAGCCGGCCUGAGAGGGUGACCGGCCACAUUGGGACUGAGAUACGGCCCAGCCUCCUACGCGAGGCAGCAGUGGGGAAUAUUGCACAAUGGGCGGAAGCCUGAUGCAGCAACGCCGCGUGCGGGAUGACGGCCUUCGGGUUGUAAACCGCUUUCGCCUGUGACGAAGCGUGAGUGACGGUAAUGGGUAAAGAAGCACCGGCUAACUACGUG